GGUGAACCUGCGGAAGGAUCAUUGUCGAAACCUGCAGAGCAGCACGACCCGCGAACAAGUGGAAGCAUCACGGGCGUCGGGCCCCCGGGCCGGUCGUCCGCAGCCCGGGCGUGGGAGCGCGGGAGACCACUCCCCCCCACGCCUUGGGCGCAAAACAACGAACCCCGGCGCGAAUUGCGCCAAGGAACCGAAAUAAGAUGCGCCCCCCUCGUCCCGGAGACGGUGUCGCGAGGGGUCGGCGUCGUCGUUGAUACGACAAAAACGAAACGACUCUCGGCAACGGAUAUCUCGGCUCUCGCAUCGAUGAAGAACGUAGCGAAAUGCGAUACUUGGUGUGAAUUGCAGAAUCCCGCGAAUCAUCGAGUUUUUGAACGCAAGUUGCGCCCGAAGCCGUCAGGCCGAGGGCACGCCUGCCUGGGUGUCACGCAACGUCGCCAACACCACCCUCACCACCCCCCGGGGAACGGCGCGGGUCGGCGGAUAUUGGCCUCCCGUGAGCUCCCGCCCGCGGUUGGCCGAAAAAUCAGGCCCACGGCGAUCGCAGCCACGGCACGCGGUGGUCGAAUGCGUUAGCUCCCUCGAAAACCGCCGUGGCGACCGUCGUCGCGCUGGAGCCAAGGACCCCGACGCGAGCAAGCGUCAUCAGAAAAGCGACCCCAUGAGUUUAAG
Molecule: ribosomal RNA, 669 nt
Filed under: Wimmeria bartlettii
Lineage: Eukaryota; Viridiplantae; Streptophyta; Magnoliopsida; Celastrales; Celastraceae
Description: eukaryotic LSU rRNA
Rfam family: 5.8S ribosomal RNA (bases 269-424)
Source: RNAcentral